CUGGGACGAAAGGAUUCGAAGCCUCCGAAUAGCGGGACCAAAACCCGAUGCCUUA
Molecule: transfer RNA, 55 nt
Filed under: Sabulina nuttallii var. fragilis
Lineage: Eukaryota; Viridiplantae; Streptophyta; Magnoliopsida; Caryophyllales; Caryophyllaceae
Description: partial tRNA-Glu
Source: RNAcentral